GACAGAGGUGCCAAGCGUUAGGCGGAAUCACUGGGCUUAAAGCGUGUGUAGGCGGAUCGUUAAGUGCCUUGUGAAAUCCCACGGCUUAACCGCAGAACUGCUCGGCAUACUGGCGGUCUUGAGCCAGCUAGGGGCUACCGGAACAAAUGGUGGAGCGGUGAAAUGCGUAGAUAUCAUUUGGAACGCCAAUGGUGAAAACAGGUAGCUGGGGCUGUGCUGACGCUGAGACACGAAAGCCAGGGGAGCGAACGGG
RNAcentral lists this ribosomal RNA (253 nucleotides) under uncultured bacterium. RNAcentral's name for it is "partial 16S ribosomal RNA". It matches the Rfam family "Bacterial small subunit ribosomal RNA", at positions 524 to 776 of the family's 1533-position model. The record is from RNAcentral.